CUCAGUUCGGAUCGGAGUCUGNAACCCGACUCCGUGAAGCUGGAUUCGCUAGUAAUCGCGCAUCAGCCAUGGCGCGGUGAAUACGUUCCCGGGCCUUGUACACACCGCCCGUCAAGCCAUGGGAGCCGGGGGUGCUUGAAGUGCGUCGCCGCGAGGCGCGCCCUAGAGCAAAACCGGUGACUGGGGCUAAGUCGUAACAAGGUACC
RNAcentral lists this ribosomal RNA (206 nucleotides) under uncultured bacterium. Its description in RNAcentral is "partial 16S ribosomal RNA". It matches the Rfam family "Bacterial small subunit ribosomal RNA", at positions 1287 to 1500 of the family's 1533-position model. The record is from RNAcentral.